UACUUGUACCCAAAUAAGGUUCGCCGAGAGGGUCGUAUAGGGAAGGUGGAGGAGAGAAGAGGGCUAAGUUGGGAGCAGAGGGAGGGUAGGGUGCGGCGGCGGCGGCGGCGGCGGGUGGUGGGGCCGCUGGAGGGGUGGCCGCUAGGGGUCGGAGAGGGAGAGGAAGAGGGGACGUAGGCAGCGGGCGUGGAAGGGAGGGUCAGGGUCUAGUGGGUGAGCGACAGCGACCAGUGGGUGAGCGACCUGCGAGGAUCCGAGGAUCCAGUGGGUGAGGGGGUGGGUCGCGGCGGCGCCUCUCCCUUAACCCGCUACCGCUACAGCUACAGCCGCCGGUGGGCGCGCUACGCCGCGUAGGUGCGCGCGGCGUGGAGGCGGAGGACGGAGGAGGCGAGGCGGGCGGGCCUGGGGUUGGGCCGCCACGACGUCCCGGUUCGCGGGCACGGGGCGACCAUGACCCCUCGGCGGCGCCCGCGGCUAGGCGGCAGCUGGGUUCGCGUGGAACCGCACCGGUGUCACGGCGUCGCUGUCCACAAGCACCAGCUCGCUAAGACGGUCAUGGUGUUCUAGGACGGGUGAUCCCAAGUGAAGGAGCACGGACACGAAAAGAACACAAUGAUCACAGGCCGGUCUUAAUCAUUCCACACUAGUUGCACCGGAUAUUAAUCUAAUAAUCCUUUUUAUGAUUGAACUCAGGCUGAUCCUGAACAGGAUCGAUAGAUCGACGCAACCAUCCUCAUAUUAUGGUCCUAAUCCUUAAACAUCAGGUUCAGCCAAUUAUCCACUCAGACUAAACUGAUCGGACAUAGGUGACCACAUCGGAUUUAAACUAUUCUACGAAAAUCCGGUAUCACAUCGGAUUUGUACGAGGACGAACGAGAACGAUUUGUAAUAUAUAAAAGCCUACUUAAUACUAAUUUUAAACAACGAAAAUGUGUCAAACCCCGACGAGCUCACCUACGCACGAUUUAGCAUUUUCUUUUCUUCACUUAUUGACUUAUACUAUCAUCCACAACUUGAAACGAAAUAGGUUACCGCACACUCAACACAGUUUGUUCAUAUAAUAUCGAUCGGGAAUAUAUAUCUAUAAGGUACAAUAAUGGUGAGAGGUCGAAACAAGAUGUUAGAUUGUAGAUUAUUAAAGUAGUACAUCUACUUUGGUAGCCUCCAGUUCUACUUUUAACUGUACAGGCGCUGCACAGGAGGUAGUCGAUACGCCCGUGUACGUCUGUGUCCCGUGUACGUCUGUGUCCCGAACGUUCCGACUCGUGGUCCGCUUAUGACCGUCCCUUGAUCUACCGCUGAUCGUCCCGUGCUGUCACGUCGCUGGCCGACGUCCCCUCAUCACGUUGUUCGCUUCCAUGUUACCGUCCAACACCACUGCCGGUUGGCGUCCACUGACUGCUACGAUCUUUAUCCGUGUUGUUACAGUCCAACAACGUAUUAGCUCAUUGUAUGUUGAUUUAUUAAAACAAAGGGAAAAUAGAGUCGCAAACAUACAUCGAAACGCAAUUUCGUUCGUUUAUAUCAUUUACUUUUUUUUUGACACAAAGUCGCCGUGGUUUUAUUUAGACGACAAAUGUAAUUUUUUUACGCUAGCCUCAACCAUCAAGAAGAAUACUACGGGUUUAACAAUACGUCACAUUACGUUACCCUGGUAUUCUUUGUAGGUUCGAUUUCUCGAAAUAUAUAACACUAGCCAAUCAGAAUCAAGAAAGACUUCAAGAACUAAAAAGAACUUGACUUAUAUAGUGGAACAGAAACAAACAAUGUCAUGUCACUUCAACCGUUGUUUGAUGAUUCAGAAGAAGCCUAUACAAAAAUUAUAUUUCUCUCCUUAGUUCCGGUUAAUAAGUACCACCAUCUAUUCAUAAAGACAUCGAUUUCUGAUCUCUUGACGUUAUAUCAGCGUGGCCAUGAAUAAGUCUAAUUUUGUAGUACUAAAGAACCGAGGUCAAAUGAUAUAAUAAAUGGUUAUCAAUCAUACUGAUGAAGUAAAGUGUUAAUUUAUCACCUGUCUUCGAAAAUAUAUUUAAUUUAUUGUGUACGUGCGACGGUCUAUUGACGUCAUCACAGUUGAAUUAAACCUACCUAAACUUUCCUUUUUGAAGUAAGUCCAUUGAUAUUAUAACAGAUAUUAGUACCUAUAAUUAAAAACAACCCGCAUACCAGGAAGAAUUCAUCAUGUACCACGGUUAUUUUGAAAUAAAACUCGAAGCUGAUUUCUAGAUCAGUACAGAUUAUCUCAAGUGUUAGAAAUGAAACUUCUAGACAUCGAUCUGCAAUCUUGACAACUGUACGUUUAUUAAUUGAUUGACGUACAGCAUGAACUUAAUGUCCAAAAAACAAAAGUAGUGAGGAAACAAUAUACCUUCUUCUGAAGUACUGAAACACUUCGGUGUACUCGAUCCCCAACGUGGCGUCCUCGUAUCGCACAUGUUCAUGACUUGUAACUUCUAACGUAACGUCGAGUAGUCAUCUUCUAUCGCUGUCUCACGACGUCCUAUUACUCUACAACUUCGCCGUAUGACUUAGGUACUGUGGCUUCACGUUAACGCCGUCUAAUAGAGAUAGAAAAGAAAAGUAAAAAGAAUAAUAGCUCACUCUUGUCUUACUCCUUGACACACUAUCAUGUAUGUUGUUGACAUCAUUUUUCUUUGAAUACAAACGUUAACAAUUACUGUAUCUAUGAACGUACAAGAAACUUC
Molecule: ribosomal RNA, 2705 nt
Filed under: Triticum aestivum (bread wheat)
Lineage: Eukaryota; Viridiplantae; Streptophyta; Magnoliopsida; Poales; Poaceae
Description: partial small subunit ribosomal RNA
Source: RNAcentral